RNAcentral lists this ribosomal RNA (274 nucleotides) under uncultured bacterium. RNAcentral describes it as "partial 16S ribosomal RNA". It matches the Rfam family "Bacterial small subunit ribosomal RNA", at positions 523 to 796 of the family's 1533-position model. The record is from RNAcentral.
AUACGGAGGGUGCAAGCGUUACUCGGAAUCACUGGGCGUAAAGCGCGCGCAGGCGGCUUGGUAAGUUGGAUGUGAAAGCCUACGGCUCAACCGUAGAACUGCAUCCAAAACUGUCAAGCUAGAGUGUGGGAGAGGAAGAUGGAAUUAGUUGUGUAGAGGUAAAAUCCGUAGAGAUAACUAGGAAUACCAAAAGCGAAGGCAAUCUUCUGGAACACUACUGACGCUGAGGCGCGAAAGCGUGGGGAGCAAACAGGAUUAGAUACCCUAGUAGUCC